UGAGCAAUCUGCCCUUCUCAUCGGAAUAAGCGUUGGAAACGACGUCUAAUGCCGAAUACGACCUCCUUUCGCAUGAUCGGAGGAGGAAAGCUCCGGCGGAGAAGGAUGAGCUCGCGGCCUAUCAGCUAGUUGGUGUGGGUAAUGGCCCACCAAGGCGACGACGGGUAGCCGGCCUGAGAGGGUGACCGGCCACACUGGGACUGAGACACGGCCCAGACCCCCUACGGGAGGCAGCG
This 236-nucleotide ribosomal RNA is filed under the name uncultured bacterium. RNAcentral's name for it is "partial 16S ribosomal RNA". It matches the Rfam family "Bacterial small subunit ribosomal RNA", at positions 118 to 353 of the family's 1533-position model. The record is from RNAcentral.